GCACAGAAACACCGUUAUUAGUAAUGAUGGUUCAUACGACUUGUAUAUUAAUUAAACAUGCGUUCACAUUUUUUUCUUAAGUUUUGAAUUAUUUUUUUCUUUCACUUUGAUAUUCAUUGUCAUUUUUGUUUGUUUGAUAUAUCAUCUAAUCAAGCGUAUCACCAUCCUAUCGUAUCUCAAUGAGAAGCUAAAAUCCAUCACAACACCCCUCCCCCGCCGCGAAUCUCAGAAAACCAAUUUAACAUGUUUAAUGAAUUAAAGAAAUUGUGAUUUUAACUUAAAAAUGUUAUCCGUUCCGUCCCGUUUUCCGUUCCGCAUUUUAGCAACACCCUGCAGGCCACGUUAGCGGGUAUUAGUUUUACCCAGUUAACUUGCACGUGCUAGUGAUGUACUUUCCGGUGUUUUCCAUAUGCAGAAAAGGAUUAAUUAACACGGAUAAACGUUUCUUUUGUGAUGAUAAGCAAAAAGGAUCCAUAUUGUGCUCUUAUUGGAUUAUCAUUGUGAUGUUGACCAAUAUAGUUUAGAUCACCAUGUAAAUUGAAAUGGAACUUCAUCAAAGACCCACAACAGUGAGACACACUUGAUAGUUUUUCAACACAGACACAUUUAUCCGGAAAAUGAAUCUGGCUUCACACCACAAAGUUUUAACAGGACAGAGACAAUUUGAUGAGCUUUCAUUCAAAAGGUUCCUCGUUGCUGAAUGAAAAUUAGGGCUGGAGCUAUGUACCCGAAUGUUAACAUUACCGCCUAUCGAAAAUGCAUGAGUGGACUAUAACCAUAUAUAUAUAUAUAUAUAUAUAUAUAUAUAUAUAUAUAUAUAUAUAUAUAUAUAUAUAUAUAUAUUUGUCUUAUCUUAAAAUUGUUUACGUAUACAAUGAACAUGUGAUAUGCAUGUAAAAUUUACCUGGAAAUGAAUCAAUAUGUAUUUAUAUAAAAGAUAAACCAUAUCUCAAACAAAUUAAAAAAUGUUGAUCUGUUAAAUAGUUUUAUUUCGAGAAGACUGUUUUCUGACUGGAAUCUGAACUUUAUAUAAUUUGAUUUAUUUUUCAAUUUUAUAAAGCUUAAAAUCUUGUUUUCACAGAAAAUGAAGGUUUUCUUAAAGUGAAUUAAAUUGUAGAU
This is a long non-coding RNA of Magallana angulata, 1119 nucleotides long. RefSeq lists it as uncharacterized. The transcript has 3 exons. The record is from RefSeq and is a predicted model, not a curated record. Lineage: Eukaryota; Metazoa; Mollusca; Bivalvia; Ostreida; Ostreidae.